AAAGCAGGACGGCGAGUCCGUUCCCGUGCCGCGGCGUUGCGGUGGGUGAAGUACUCGGCAUUAUUCUGCUUUCAGGACGCAUAGAGGAGGCCAAAGCACCCCUGUGCAGGAGAACUCAAGGAAGGAGAGGCACCCGACCCACUCUGCCGGCUCUGCAAAGAGUGAACACCUUCUGAGGUCUUGAUCGCCAUAUCGUUCAGAAUCUGGGAGCUAGGAUGAGGCAGCUGCGCUAAGUACACACCUGCGCCGUGGCUCUCAUCGUCCAGACUACCGUUGGAGAAGAGACGCCCUGGGACACAGUGGUCCCCCAUCACCCCACCAGCUAGGGCAAUAAAGAAG
Molecule: long non-coding RNA, 339 nt
Organism: Scleropages formosus (Asian bonytongue)
Lineage: Eukaryota; Metazoa; Chordata; Actinopteri; Osteoglossiformes; Osteoglossidae
Exons: 3
Source: RefSeq, a predicted model, not a curated record